This 277-nucleotide long non-coding RNA is filed under the name Marmota monax (woodchuck). Lineage: Eukaryota; Metazoa; Chordata; Mammalia; Rodentia; Sciuridae. The record is from RNAcentral.
GGCCAGGUAAAAAGAUUGGGAUUCAUCCAAAUGAGCUGCCUGUGCACCAUCAAUGUGUUUGGAGGAGAGGUCUAUUGGAAUGGCUGAUGUUAUCCAUUGCCUACUUACCGGUUGCUCAACCAAGAAAAAUAGCAUUUAGUUGCUAAAUAUACAAUAUAUGUAAUAUGUAUGUAUGUGUAUUUUUUAAUAUUCCUUCAGGCUCUUAACCAAAAUUAUUUUAGAUUAUUUUUUUCCUUCAACUGGUUGAUCUGUUAUUGACUUGUGGCUAUUGAUCUUU